CCCUUAGACGUUCUGGGCCGCACGCGCGCUACACUGACCAGUGCAACAAGCAUCCGUCCUUGGCCGACAGGCCCGGGCAAUCUUUGAACGCUGGUCGUGAUGGGGAUAGACUUUUGCAAUUUUUGGUCUUCAACGAGGAAUUCCUAGUAAAAGCAAGUCAUCAACUUGCAUUGAUUACGUCCCUGCCCUUUGUACACACCGCCCGUCGCACCUACCGAUUGAAUGGUCCGGUGAAGCCUCCGGAUUGGCGCGCACCUCGGUGCCGCCGAGAAGUUGGCUAAACCUUACCAUUUAGAGGAAGGUGAAGUCGUAACA
This 315-nucleotide ribosomal RNA is filed under the name uncultured eukaryote. RNAcentral describes it as "partial 18S ribosomal RNA". It matches the Rfam family "Eukaryotic small subunit ribosomal RNA", at positions 1470 to 1796 of the family's 1831-position model. The record is from RNAcentral.